Molecule: long non-coding RNA, 372 nt
Organism: Phyllostomus hastatus (greater spear-nosed bat)
Lineage: Eukaryota; Metazoa; Chordata; Mammalia; Chiroptera; Phyllostomidae
Exons: 2
Source: RefSeq, a predicted model, not a curated record
GUAAGAGGUAUUGCCCCUCUCCGGCUUCUUUGCGCCUCCUACUUGCAAUCUUGAGGUGCACUCCUGGCCAGGAAGGCGGGGUGAUCGCCGGAGUCUGGGAGGCCGGGAGGCAGAGCCAGGCGUGACGGUGCUGCGAUACUUCUUUUUUUGCGCUACACGCCUCUCCUCUGGCCCAGCCAAAUAUGACUUCUCUUGUGGAUUGCUCCCACCUAGGGCUCCUGGCCGCGACUUCAGUGCUCGGCAGUUGGGUCCCUGGACCAGUAAUCUCACUGUGUGCUGUGAAAGCUGGUGGUGAAGUUCCCGCCCUCGUGGAGUGCACAUCUGGAAGAGGCCUUUAAUUCAAUCCGUAAAUAAACAACCAACGACGAAAGA